This 769-nucleotide ribosomal RNA is filed under the name uncultured Planctomycetota bacterium. RNAcentral describes it as "bacterial SSU rRNA". It matches the Rfam family "Bacterial small subunit ribosomal RNA", at positions 64 to 810 of the family's 1533-position model. Lineage: Bacteria; Pseudomonadati; Planctomycetota. The record is from RNAcentral.
GAACGAGGAUAUAUCCUUCGGGAUAUAAGCCGAGUGGCGCAAGGGUGAGUAAUGCAUAGAUUACCUGCCUCUAGGAUAAGGACAACUUUGUGAAAACGAAGCUAAUACUUAAUAAUACAAAAGAAAAUUAUUUUCUUUUGUCAAUGGGAGGGUAGCAAUGCCUUUUGCCUGGAGAGGGGUUUAUGUCCUAUCAGCUUGUUGGUGGGGUAAUGGCCUACCAAGGCGAAGACGGGUAGCCGGUCUUAGAGGAUGGUCGGCCACACUGGGACUGAGACACUGCCCAGACUUCUACGGAAGGCUGCAGUCGAGAAUCUUUCGCAAUGCCCGAAAGGGUGACGAAGCGACGCCGCGUGAGUGAGGAAGGCCUUCGGGUUGUAAAGCUCUGUCAGGAGUUAAGAAAUAUAAGUGUGCUAAUACCACAUUUAUUUGACGAAGGCUCCAAAGGAAGCCACGGCUAACUCUGUGCCAGCAGCCGCGGUAAUACAGAGGUGGCAAGCGUUGUUCGGAAUUAUUGGGCGUAAAGAGCACGUAGGUGGGUUUGUAAGUCAGAUGUGAAAGCCUUCUGUUCAACGGAAGAAUUGCAUCUGAAACUGCGAGUCUUGAGUGUAGGAGGGGAGAAUGGAACUUCUGGUGGAGCGGUGAAAUGCGUAGAUAUCAGAAGGAACGCCGGCGGCGAAAGCGAUUCUCUGGCCUAUUACUGACGCUCAGUGUGCGAAAGCUAGGGGAGCAAACGGGAUUAGAUACCCCGGUAGUCCUAGCCGUAAACGAU